GACGAACGCUGGCGGCGUGCUUAACACAUGCAAGUCGAGCGGUAAGGCCCUUUCGGGGGUACACGAGCGGCGAACGGGUGAGUAACACGUGGGUGACCUGCCCUCAGCUCUGGGAUAAGCCUGGGAAACCGGGUCUAAUACUGGAUAUGACUCCAUGACGCAUGUUGUGGGGUGGAAAGCCUUGUGCGGCUGAGGAUGGGCCCGCGGCCUAUCAGCUUGUUGGUGGGGGAUGGCCUACCAAGGCGACGACGGGUAGCCGGCCUGAGAGGGCGACCGGCCACACUGGGACUGAGACACGGCCCAGACUCCUACGGGAGGCAGCAGUGGGGAAUCUUGCGCAAUGGGCGAAAGCCUGACGCAGCGACGCCGCGUGAGGGAUGACGGCCUCGGUUGU
RNAcentral lists this ribosomal RNA (394 nucleotides) under uncultured bacterium. Its description in RNAcentral is "bacterial SSU rRNA". It matches the Rfam family "Bacterial small subunit ribosomal RNA", at positions 28 to 426 of the family's 1533-position model. The record is from RNAcentral.